RNAcentral lists this unclassified non-coding RNA (408 nucleotides) under Hevea brasiliensis (rubber tree). Lineage: Eukaryota; Viridiplantae; Streptophyta; Magnoliopsida; Malpighiales; Euphorbiaceae. The record is from RNAcentral.
AGAUUAAUUCUAUUUGAUGGAGAGGAUUAAAGUGCAAGAGAAAUUAAGUUAAGAUGGAGAUUUGUUAUUGGUAACUUGAAUUCUUACUAUUGAAGAAAGUACAACUAUAACCAAGUUGUAGUUUACUUAGUCAAUAUUGGUGGCUUAAGUUAAAGAAAGUGGCUACAUGUGGGAUAUUCUAAAGCAUUUUAUAAUGCUAGCUAAUAGCCAGCUAUUUAUAAUAGGCAAAUUCAAGUUGUAAGCUGACUUUUACAUGGCUACAUAAAGGAUAUGAAUUCUCCAUUUGUAGUACCCUUUUUGUGAUAUGAAAAAUUAGUAAGAGAAAGAAGGGUGUGUGAGACUGAGAAUUUGUGAGGCUUUUGGGGUGUAAUUGGGUUUGAGUGGUUUGUGAGUGAAGAAAAUAUUUAG